Molecule: ribosomal RNA, 253 nt
Filed under: uncultured bacterium
Lineage: Bacteria
Description: partial 16S ribosomal RNA
Rfam family: Bacterial small subunit ribosomal RNA
Source: RNAcentral
UACGUAGGAUGCAAGCGUUGUCCGGAAUUACUGGGCGUAAAGAGCGCGCAGGCGGUUUUACAAGUCAGAUGUGAAAGAGGCCGGCUUAACCGGCAAGGGUCAUUUGAAACUGUCAGACUAGAGUGCAGCAUAGGAUAGUGGAAUUCCCGGUGUAGUGGUGAAAUGCGUAGAUAUUGGGAGGAACACCAGUGGCGAAGGCGACUAUCUGGGCUGCAACUGACGCUGAGGCGCGAAGGCCAGGGGAGCAAACGGG